This 468-nucleotide ribosomal RNA is filed under the name uncultured bacterium. RNAcentral's name for it is "partial 16S ribosomal RNA". It matches the Rfam family "Bacterial small subunit ribosomal RNA", at positions 28 to 507 of the family's 1533-position model. The record is from RNAcentral.
GACGAACGCUGGCGGCGUGCUUAACACAUGCAAGUCGAACGGAAAGGCCCUGCUUUUGUGGGGUGCUCGAGUGGCGAACGGGUGAGUAACACGUGAGUAACCUGCCCUUGACUUUGGGAUAACUUCAGGAAACUGGGGCUAAUACCGGAUAGGAGCUCCUGCUGCAUGGUGGGGGUUGGAAAGUUUCGGCGGUUGGGGAUGGACUCGCGGCUUAUCAGCUUGUUGGUGGGGUAGUGGCUUACCAAGGCUUUGACGGGUAGCCGGCCUGAGAGGGUGACCGGCCACAUUGGGACUGAGCUGCGGCACAGACUACUAUGGGAGGCAACAGUGGGGAAUAUUGCACAAUGGGCGGAAGCCUGAUGCAGCAACGCCGCGUGCGGGAUGACGGCCUUCGGGUUGUAAACCGCUUUCGCCUGUGACGAAGCGUGAGUGACGGUACUGGGUAAAGAAGCACCGGCUAACUACGUG